GAUGAGCAUCGCUGCUGAUGCGGAGAAUCGGUCGAUUUUGAUCGAUUAUGAACUUAUUCCUGUCCUACUUAGGUUGUUCGAGUCGGUAAGAUGCGUCUUGUGAAGAAAUUUCUCGUCAUUUUUUCAUGUGGAGGACGAAGCUCUUCAGUACUACGUUACCUGUUUGGUUCAAAGGUGUUGCGCAUCCUUAAAGGAGAGAGGAGUUUUGACGCGUUGUGUUUCAUUCUUGAUAC
Xenia sp. Carnegie-2017 is the source of this 233-nucleotide long non-coding RNA. RefSeq lists it as uncharacterized. The record is from RefSeq and is a predicted model, not a curated record. Lineage: Eukaryota; Metazoa; Cnidaria; Anthozoa; Malacalcyonacea; Xeniidae. The transcript is spliced from 3 exons.